GUGCUUGCUUCUGCAGCACAUAUACUAAAAUUGAAACGAUACAGAGAUUAGCAUGGCCCCUGCGCAGGGAUUACACACAAAUUCAUGAAGCGUUCCACAUUAAA
Molecule: small nuclear RNA, 104 nt
Organism: Ailuropoda melanoleuca (giant panda)
Lineage: Eukaryota; Metazoa; Chordata; Mammalia; Carnivora; Ursidae
Source: Ensembl